Molecule: ribosomal RNA, 164 nt
Filed under: uncultured bacterium
Lineage: Bacteria
Description: partial 16S ribosomal RNA
Rfam family: Bacterial small subunit ribosomal RNA
Source: RNAcentral
UAGGGAAUCCUCCACAAUGGACGCAAGUCUGAUGGAGCAACGCCGCGUGAGUGAAGAAGGGUUUCGGCUCGUAAAGCUCUGUUGUUAAAGAAGAACGUGGGUAAGAGUAACUGUUUACCCAGUGACGGUAUUUAACCAGAAAGCCACGGCUAACUACGUGCCAG